Molecule: ribosomal RNA, 487 nt
Filed under: uncultured bacterium
Lineage: Bacteria
Description: bacterial SSU rRNA
Rfam family: Bacterial small subunit ribosomal RNA
Source: RNAcentral
GAUGAACGCUAGCGAGAGGCUUAACACAUGCAAGUCGAGGGGUAACAGGGUGCUUGCACCGCUGACGACCGGCGCACGGGUGCGUAACGCGUAUGCAACCUACCUUAUACUGGAGGAUAGCCCAGAGAAAUUUGGAUUAAUACUCCAUAGUAUUAUUGAUUGGCAUCAAUUGAUAAUUAAAGUUCCGGCGGUAUAAGAUGGGCAUGCGUGAUAUUAGUUAGUUGGUGAGGUAAUGGCUCACCAAGACGUCGAUAUCUAGGGGUUCUGAGAGGAAGAUCCCCCACACUGGUACUGAGACACGGACCAGACUCCUACGGGAGGCAGCAGUGAGGAAUAUUGGUCAAUGGGCGCAAGCCUGAACCAGCCAUCUCGCGUGCAGGAGGACUGCCCUAUGGGUUGUAAACUGCUUUUUAUAUAGGAAGAACUUAUUCUACGUGUAGAAUAUUGACGGUACUAUAAGAAUAAGGAUCGGCUAACUCCGUGCCAG